This 407-nucleotide ribosomal RNA is filed under the name uncultured bacterium. RNAcentral's name for it is "partial 16S ribosomal RNA". It matches the Rfam family "Bacterial small subunit ribosomal RNA", at positions 30 to 526 of the family's 1533-position model. The record is from RNAcentral.
AUUGAACGCUGGCGGCAGGCCUAACCCAUGCAAGUCGAGCGGAGCGGCGGACGGGUGAGUAAUGCCUAGGACUCUGCCUGGUAGUGGGGGAUCACGUCCGGAAACGGGCGCUAAUACCGCAUACUAUCAAAUGAGCCUCGGUCGGAUUGGCUUGUUGGUGGGGUAAAGGCCUACCAAGGCGACGAUCCGUAACUGGUCUGAGAGGAUGAUCAGUCACACUGGAACUGAGACACGGUCCAGAGGCCUACGGGAGGCAGCAGUGGGGAAUAGUGGGCAAUGGGCGAAAGCCUGUGCCAGCCAUGCCGCGUGUGUGAAGAAGGUCUUCGGAUUGUAAAGCACUUUAAGUUGGGAGGCGUUACCAACAGAAUAAGCACCGGCUAACUUCGUGCCAGCCGCCGCGGUAAUAC